This 440-nucleotide ribosomal RNA is filed under the name uncultured bacterium. RNAcentral's name for it is "partial 16S ribosomal RNA". It matches the Rfam family "Bacterial small subunit ribosomal RNA", at positions 338 to 795 of the family's 1533-position model. The record is from RNAcentral.
CCUACGGGAGGCAGCAGUGGGGGAUAUUGCACAAUGGGGGAAACCCUGAUGCAGCAACGCCGCGUGUGGGAAGAAGGUUUUCGGAUUGUAAACCACUGUUCUUGGUGAAGAUAAUGACGGUAAGCAAGGAGAAAGCUCCGGCUAACUACGUGCCAGCAGCCGCGGUAAUACGUAGGGAGCAAGCGUUCUCCGGAUUUACUGGGUGGAAAGGGUGCGUAGGCGGUCUUGCAAGUCAGACGUGAAAACCCCAGGCUCAACCUGAGGACUGCGUGUGAAACUGUGGGGCUUGAGUGAGGUAGAGGUAGGCGGAAUUCCCGGUGUAGCGGUGAAAUGCGUAGAGAUCGGGAGGAACACCAGUGGCGAAGGCGGCCUACUGGGCUUUAACUGACGCUGAGGCACGAAAGCAUGGGUAGCAAACAGGAUUAGAUACCCUUGUAGUC